UCCGGUUUAUCACCGGCAGUUCCCCAUGAGUCCCCGGCAUUACCCGCUGGCAACAUAGGGCAAGGGUUGCGCUCGUUGCGGGACUUAACCCAACAUCUCACGACACGAGCUGACGACAGCCAUGCAGCACCUGUGCACGUGUCCCGAAGGAGGGCCCCUGUUUCCAGGGGCUUUCACGUGCAUGUCAAGCCCAGGUAAGGUGGGGAUGACGUGAGCCUAUCGAGA
This 225-nucleotide unclassified non-coding RNA is filed under the name uncultured Gemmatimonadota bacterium. Its description in RNAcentral is "uncultured Gemmatimonadetes bacterium contains 16S-23S intergenic spacer region". The record is from RNAcentral. Lineage: Bacteria; Pseudomonadati; Gemmatimonadota.